UGGGUUGGACAAACCCCAAUAAUCUCCCACUCUAGUGCAUGGCGAGGUAUCCUCACAUCUAGUGCUCAACUAUCACUUAGUGCCACCUUUUUAUUACAAGACUGAUGUUUUUCAUGAGUUACCACCUUGGUCAACAUAUCAACCAAAUCAAUUUGAAUGAGCCAUUAGGAAGGUAAGCAUAUAAAAUAGUUCUAGAAAUAGAGAAUUUUAGUAAAUUUGGAAAUAAAUCAUGUAGCAAGUAGAUAGGAGCACAAGAGAAACUUUUGAUGAUGCAAUACCAAAACUGUGAAGAAUGAAUAAGACACUUAAUUUGUUAGUCAUGAACCGAGGAGGGGAGGGUACAUGUGUGGCUGAAGUUCAGCAGGUAUGCUGA
This 373-nucleotide long non-coding RNA is filed under the name Carica papaya (papaya). Its description in RNAcentral is "long non-coding RNA (CPAP_LNC009268)". The record is from RNAcentral. Lineage: Eukaryota; Viridiplantae; Streptophyta; Magnoliopsida; Brassicales; Caricaceae.